UAGCCUUAACAUAUAGCUAUUUGGGACGAACACCCUCACCUCUCCAUUGACUACUUUUAUUAAUGAAGACUCAUAUUACUAUCUUAUUUUUAUUUACACCAAAAAUAUUAAAAAAAUUAUUACAAAUUGAAAAUUCGAAGCAAAAGGACAGAACCUUCUCUUGUAGAUUUUGCUGCUGCUGCUUAAUCAAAGCUCUGGAACUGCACUUUCUCUCUCCUAUUUCUUUCCUUCUCUCACUAUUGAGUUGGUCAGUUUGGCAGCCAGCUAACUCUUCUUGCUUUACACGGCUUUUGGGAUUACCUAUCAAAUCAAAUCCUCUAAAAAGUUUCUCCACCUUUGAUUUUCUUUUUCUUUUUUCCCCUUUUUACCGUUUUCCCAAAUCUGGUUCUUCAUUUUCACAUCACCAAGGAUCAUCAAUGUAGGCCAACAACUUUAAGAGAAAGUCGAUCGAAGUCUGAAGAUUACUGCAUAAGUUCACUUAAGAAUCAUUUUGAUGGAGCGAGAUGAUGCAACAAUUGAACAAAAGAAAGCAUUACAAAGAAAACGACGGAGAGAAUUAUAUGCACAAACUAAAGAAUCACGAAAUAAGCAUCGGAGAUAGGUGGCUGCAAAGAAAAGAAUGGCUGAAAGUAACAAAAGUAUUCGCAAUAAUUCUAGAAAGAUUCGUACAGAAAAUAUGGUGAUGAGUGAAUCCUUUCAAAGUGAAAUAGGGAGCGACCAUAUGUUUCAUGAUAAAAUCGGCCACCAGAGAAAUAUUAUGAGUGAAAUCGGAAGUACAUCAAACACGUGUGUAUGCAGACAUGAUACUUUUGUUGAAAGAGGUCAUAUGAUAAUUUGGACUUUAUAGGAAUUCCUUGCACACUUAUUGUGAGUAUCUUUAAUUUUGUACCAAUUACACAUUGAUUAUACUUAUUUAUUGUAUAUUGCUCAUGAUAUACUAUAAAUUGGCUAAGGAGACUUUAUAAAAGAUUUCUAACUAAUUACUAAUCAUUGUUAUCAGCUGGUUUAAAUUUAAAAAUAUUUGGGUAACAAGUCAAGUUUUCUGAAUUGGUGGAGAUUUGAAAAUAUAUUGUGAGUAGCAUAUAAAGACGAGGAAAUCAACCCUAAAUAGUCAUGUUGAACUCUACACCCUUUUAGAUUUUUCCCCAAAAAAAACGUGAACUCUCCUAUACUUGUGAUUGUCCAGACAAAACUUGUCUUCAAAACAGAAGGAAAAGAAUUGCAAUGGCAGAACUUUAUAAACUUAUACCAGAGAUUUCUCUUGGAGAAAUGAAUUGGACUGCCAAAGUUAUUGUUGCUGAAAAAUCAAACACAAAAACAGCAAUACAUAGUCCAACCAAAUACAUGAAUAUGACACUUAUUCAUCCACAAGAGAACCAAGUGCAAGCAACGAUCUAUGAAGCAAAUAUUCUACCUUUUCAAGACACCCUGGAAGUAUCAAAAACAUACUUAAUCUCGAAUGCAACUGUGAAGCAUACUAAACCUCAGUAUAGAAAAGUUGCUGGAGAUGUCCAAUGGACUAUAAAUGGGAAAACAAAAGUAGAAGAGCUCAAAGAAAAUCACAAUGCUCUUUUAUUUUCAAUGAAAUUCCGUAUUUUAAUAUUCCCAGUUUGAUUAUUUAAUUAAAUGAUUAAUUAAAUGCGGAAUAAUAAAACUGGUACUGAAAACAGUUUUCUGUAGUUACAGAAUGCAACUCUGUAACUCCAGAGAAACCCAGAAAAACAAACAGUGCAUAAAAGUAAAAACACACAAGAUUUUUGUACGUGGUUUCAACAAUCCUUUCAGAUUGUUACUAGUCCACGGGGCCACGCCCAGAGAUAAGAUUCAUUAGAUCGGUAUCAAAAAUACAAAGUAAUU
This is a long non-coding RNA of Cannabis sativa, 1857 nucleotides long. RefSeq lists it as uncharacterized. Lineage: Eukaryota; Viridiplantae; Streptophyta; Magnoliopsida; Rosales; Cannabaceae. The transcript is spliced from 9 exons. The record is from RefSeq and is a predicted model, not a curated record.